Long non-coding RNA from Coturnix japonica (Japanese quail), 746 nucleotides. RefSeq lists it as uncharacterized. NCBI's taxonomy places the organism in Eukaryota, Metazoa, Chordata, Aves, Galliformes, Phasianidae. The record is from RefSeq and is a predicted model, not a curated record.
UGCUAAGUCACGGGCUAGUGAAAAAGCACCUGAUAAAGAGGUAAUGCUGGUCCAGAACACACAGGCAAAUUGCCUGCACCUGCACUCCUUAUGUGACCAGAAGGGGAGAAGGGGUGGACCCAGGGUGGAGCCACCCUAGGCUCAUAUAAGGGCCAGCCACUGAAAGGAGGGUGUUUGUUGGAUUUAGGUUGUGCGCUGCGUAGCUGUGUGGCCUGAGAUCCCUUUCAUUAGUUGGUUUCCUCCUCUGUGGAUCUGAAAAUGACUGUAGAACAAAGAGAAAAGUGGAGGUGUCAGGCUGCAGAAGGUGUUGGUUCCCCUUCUUGCAGCUUAUCUACAAGCAACAGUGAAAAGCUUCCAGCUACCCCAAAAGUCUCUAGACAUCUUCCUGGCAGGUAACAUUCUCACUGCUGAAGUCCUGCCAUCAGCCCUCAUCUGUGACCUGUCUAUGUAUGUACAGACCAAAGGGAGCAGAAGGUGCCAUCAAGACUCACCAGAACAAUAGGAAUGAACCAAAACUUUUCUUGUCAAAUGAACCAGAACUUUUCUCUCCUGACCAGCCUAAGACAAAUCAAGGGGAAUCAGACAGCUUCUCUGGAGUUUGCUAAGGUGGUCUACCGCUCCCACAAAGAGCAGAGGAAACCAAAACUGACUCAAUAAGGAAAGUCAGCAAAAAUAUGGAGUGCAAUAACACUGAGCCUACACAGGAGGGCCAAAAAUGUUACUAUUAAAUACACAUUGGCAUUCAA